CACAGUCACAAUGCUGGAGCUGUUGUCAUGGUCGGAGGAUCCCCGGCUGUCAGCAUGCACCAGCAGUAACAUGUCCUCCAGAAGCAGGUAUUUAAAGCAGAGAGCUCCUGACAUGAAAAGAAGGGAUAUUUGUUACUAGUCUUCAGUGCAAAAACAUAUUACAUUGACCAACAAAGGAAUCUUUUAUGAGUUGUCUUCUCUAGACAUCCUUCCCUGAAUGACUACAUGAUCGUUGCUCAGGAUGGAUGCCAAAAAUGAAGUGUAUCAGGAAAUUUGAUUCAUUGUCUGAUUAUAUUAGAGGAGUAACAAGAGAAGAAGUUUGGCCAAGAAAACUAAAAUAAAGGAUAUAAAAAAAAG
This is a long non-coding RNA of Hyla sarda, 357 nucleotides long. RefSeq lists it as uncharacterized. The record is from RefSeq and is a predicted model, not a curated record. NCBI's taxonomy places the organism in Eukaryota, Metazoa, Chordata, Amphibia, Anura, Hylidae. The transcript is spliced from 3 exons.